RNAcentral lists this ribosomal RNA (1346 nucleotides) under uncultured bacterium. RNAcentral's name for it is "partial 16S ribosomal RNA". It matches the Rfam family "Bacterial small subunit ribosomal RNA", at positions 28 to 1381 of the family's 1533-position model. The record is from RNAcentral.
GACGAACGCUGGCGGCGUGCUUAACACAUGCAAGUCGAACGGAAAGGCCCUGCUUUUGUGGGGUGCUCGAGUGGCGAACGGGUGAGUAACACGUGAGUAACCUGCCCUUGACUUUGGGAUAACUUCAGGAAACUGGGGCUAAUACCGGAUAGGAGCUCCUGCUGCGUGGUGGGGGUUGGAAAGUUUCGGCGGUUGGGGAUGGACUCGCGGCUUAUCAGCUUGUUGGUGGGGUAGUGGCUUACCAAGGCUUUGACGGGUAGCCGGCCUGAGAGGGUGACCGGCCACAUUGGGACUGAGAUACGGCCCAGACUCCUACGGGAGGCAGCAGUGGGGAAUAUUGCACAAUGGGCGGAAGCCUGAUGCAGCAACGCCGCGUGCGGGAUGACGGCCUUCGGGUUGUAAACCGCUUUCGCCUGUGACGAAGCGUGAGUGACGGUAAUGGGUAAAGAAGCACCGGCUAACUACGUGCCAGCAGCCGCGGUGAUACGUAGGGUGCGAGCGUUGUCCGGAUUUAUUGGGCGUAAAGGGCUCGUAGGUGGUUGAUCGCGUCGGAAGUGUAAUCUUGGGGCUUAACCCUGAGCGUGCUUUCGAUACGGGUUGACUUGAGGAAGGUAGGGGAGAAUGGAAUUCCUGGUGGAGCGGUGGAAUGCGCAGAUAUCAGGGGGAACACCAGUGGCGAAGGCGGUUCUCUGGGCCUUUCCUGACGCUGAGGAGCGAAAGCGUGGGGAGCGAACAGGCUUAGAUACCCUGGUAGUCCACGCUGUAAACGGUGGGUACUAGGUGUGGGGUCCAUUCCACGGGUUCCGUGCCGUAGCUAACGCUUUAAGUACCCCGCCUGGGGAGUACGGCCGCAAGGCUAAAACUCAAAGGAAUUGACGGGGCCCCGCACAAGCGGCGGAGCAUGCGGAUUAAUUCGAUGCAACGCGUAGAACCUUACCUGGGUUUGACAUGGAUCGGGAGUGCUCAGAGAUGGGUGUGCCUCUUUUGGGGUCGGUUCACAGGUGGUGCAUGGCUGUCGUCAGCUCGUGUCGUGAGAUGUUGGGUUAAGUCCCGCAACGAGCGCAACCCUUGUUCACUGUUGCCAGCACGUUAUGGUGGGGACUCAGUGGAGACCGCCGGGGUCAACUCGGAGGAAGGUGGGGAUGACGUCAAGUCAUCAUGCCCCUUAUGUCCAGGGCUUCACGCAUGCUACAAUGGCUGGUACAGAGAGUGGCGAGCCUGUGAGGGUGAGCGAAUCUCGGAAAGCCGGUCUCAGUUCGGAUUGGGGUCUGCAACUCGACCUCAUGAAGUCGGAGUCGCUAGUAAUCGCAGAUCAGCAACGCUGCGGUGAAUACGUUCCCGGGGCU